This is a small nuclear RNA of Artibeus jamaicensis (Jamaican fruit-eating bat), 103 nucleotides long. Lineage: Eukaryota; Metazoa; Chordata; Mammalia; Chiroptera; Phyllostomidae. The record is from RefSeq and is a predicted model, not a curated record.
GUGCUGGCUUUGGCAGCACACACACUUAACCUGAACAGCACAGAGAGCAGCAUGGUCCCUGCACAAGGAUGACAUGAAGAUCUGUGAAGUGUUCCACACUUUU